UGGAAGUGGGCGGGAGUCAACGAUUGCAGGCCUCCCGUCCCAUGGCUGUGUGGAACAAAAGGGAAACCUGCUGUGAGAAUUGGGCGGCAGAGGAAAUCGAAAUGAAGGAAGAAAAAGGCAGGGCUCUGAGUGGAGAAGAAGAGGGGCGGAGCGGCGGUCAACAUUUGCGGCGGCAAAAGGGAGAGAAGAGAAAAGGGGGAAA
This 202-nucleotide long non-coding RNA is filed under the name Erythranthe guttata (spotted monkey flower). RNAcentral describes it as "long non-coding RNA (EGUT_LNC003513)". Lineage: Eukaryota; Viridiplantae; Streptophyta; Magnoliopsida; Lamiales; Phrymaceae. The record is from RNAcentral.